RNAcentral lists this ribosomal RNA (419 nucleotides) under Bacillus tequilensis. RNAcentral's name for it is "bacterial SSU rRNA". The record is from RNAcentral. Lineage: Bacteria; Bacillati; Bacillota; Bacilli; Caryophanales; Bacillaceae.
AYCAGGUCUUGACAUCCUCUGACAAUCCUAGAGAUAGGACUUCCCCUUCGGGGGCAGAGUGACAGGUGGUGCAUGGUUGUCGUCAGCUCGUGUCGUGAGAUGUUGGGUUAAGUCCCGCAACGAGCGCAACCCUUGAUCUUAGUUGCCAGCAUUCAGUUGGGCACUCUAAGGUGACUGCCGGUGACAAACCGGAGGAAGGUGGGGAUGACGUCAAAUCAUCAUGCCCCUUAUGACCUGGGCUACACACGUGCUACAAUGGACAGAACAAAGGGCAGCGAAACCGCGAGGUUAAGCCAAUCCCACAAAUCUGUUCUCAGUUCGGAUCGCAGUCUGCAACUCGACUGCGUGAAGCUGGAAUCGCUAGUAAUCGCGGAUCAGCAUGCCGCGGUGAAUACGUUCCCGGGUCUUGUACACACCGA